Molecule: ribosomal RNA, 253 nt
Filed under: uncultured bacterium
Lineage: Bacteria
Description: partial 16S ribosomal RNA
Rfam family: Bacterial small subunit ribosomal RNA
Source: RNAcentral
UACGGAGCGGGCGAGCGUUAUUCGGAAUUAUUGGGCGUAAAGGGCGCGUAGGCGGCUUGAUGUGUCAAAGGUGAAAUCCCUCGGCUCAACUGAGGAACUGCCUUUGAAACUGUCUGGCUUGAGGCCGGGAGAGGGUAGCGGAAUUCCCAGUGUAGCGGUGAAAUGCGUAGAUACUGGGAGGAACACCGGUGGCGAAGGCGGCUACCUGGACCGGUUCUGACGCUGAUGCGCGAAAGCGUGGGUAGCAAACAGG